UACGGGGGGGGCAAGCGUUGUUCGGAAUUAUUGGGCGUAAAGGGUGCGUAGGCGGUUUGGUAAGUCUGAUGUGAAAUCUAUGGGCUCAACUCAUAGUCUGCAUCGGAAACUGCCGGGCUUGAGUGUGGGAGAGGUGAGUGGAAUUCCUGGUGUAGCGGUGAAAUGCGUAGAUAUCAGGAGGAACACCUGUGGCGAAAGCGGCUCACUGGACCAUAACUGACGCUGAUGCACGAAAGCUAGGGGAGCAAACAGG
Molecule: ribosomal RNA, 253 nt
Filed under: uncultured bacterium
Lineage: Bacteria
Description: partial 16S ribosomal RNA
Rfam family: Bacterial small subunit ribosomal RNA
Source: RNAcentral